GACGAACGCUGGCGGCGUGCUUAAUACAUGCAAGUCGAACGCUGACGAGCGGACCUUGCUCUCCUUGGGUGAGUUACCAACGGGUGAGUAACGCGUAGGUAACCUGUCUGUUAGCGGGGGUUAACUUUUUGACACGAUAGUUAAUACCGCCUAAAAUGCAUUAUCGCAUGAUAAUCCCUUGAAAGGUGCACAUGCAUCACUACCAGCUGGACCUGCGUUGUAUUAGCUAGUUGGUGUGUUAACGGCUCACCAAGGCGACGAUACAUAGCCGACCUGAGAGGGGGAUCGGCCAAACUGGGCUUGGGACACGGCCCAGAAUCCUACGAGAGGCAGCAGUAGGGAAUCCUCGGAAAUGGACGGAAGGCGGACUGAGCAACGCCGCGUGAGUGAAGGAGGUUUUCGGGUCGUAAAGCUCUGUUGUAAGAGAAGAACGAGUGUGAGAGUGGAAAGUUCACACUGUGACGGUAUCUGACCAGAAAGGGACGGCUAACUACGUG
Molecule: ribosomal RNA, 497 nt
Filed under: uncultured bacterium
Lineage: Bacteria
Description: partial 16S ribosomal RNA
Rfam family: Bacterial small subunit ribosomal RNA
Source: RNAcentral